GUUUAUUUAUAGGCAGCACGGUACAUUUAAGGCAUCAGUCAGGCUAGUAAUAUAUGACUUCUAAUCUGUAAAAACCUAACAAAAAUUGUUCCUAAUUGCUUGUGAAAGCUGUGCCUGCUCCAUCCCCUCUUUAAAUAGAGAUCUGGCAGAUCUGCAGUGACCCACGGGCCUACCGGCUGCCUUAAGGGCUGAGAUGAGGAACUUUCCCCCAAACCUCAGCUAUUCCCCAUGACAAACCAAUCCUAAGGGGCAGCUGACAAACCCAAAUCACCCCGUAUCUCGAUAUUCCUCUCAUCCAGCCCCCCCGAGCGAUCCGUUCUGUGGUGUUGCCAUAGAAAAUGGCAAGGAAGCCUCCAAUUAGAGAAGAGGUCACACUUAAGCAGGGAUAUUAUGUAAAUAACAGCCUGCCAGCACCCGUCACGGAAAAAAAUCAAAUCAAAUAAAGGCCUCAUCUUGCGAGUCUUCCGAGGGCAGGCCUGGGAUUUGCUCCUGGGAUCCCCAGGGAGCAGGGCUGGGCUGACAGGAGCCGGGCUGGGCCCCAGAUGGCUUCGGAACAAAUGUCUUCCAGAACUCAGAUAUUUGACAACUAUCCCAGUGUUUCAUUGUUGUGUGUACUUCAACAUGUUCCAUUAGCGGCACAGCCAUAAUCGAGAAAAGUAAGACUGAUCAAAAGGAGGAGUAUUUCUAGGAAAUAAAUCUCAGAAUAAAGCAUAUAUACCCGUGACU
RNAcentral lists this long non-coding RNA (726 nucleotides) under Anser brachyrhynchus (Pink-footed goose). RNAcentral describes it as "lncRNA (ENSABRG00000002096.1)". Lineage: Eukaryota; Metazoa; Chordata; Aves; Anseriformes; Anatidae. The record is from RNAcentral.